GGGGGGGCAAGCGUUGUUCGGAAUUACUGGGCGUAAGGGGCUCGUAGGCGGCCAACUAAGUCAGACGUGAAAUCCCUCGGCUUAACCGGGGAACUGCGUCUGAUACUGGAUGGCUCGAGUUUGGGAGAGGGAUGCGGAAUUCCAGGUGUAGCGGUGAAAUGCGUAGAUAUCUGGAGGAACACCGGUGGCGAAGGCGGCAUCCUGGACCAACACUGACGCUGAGUGAGCGAAAGCCAGGGGAGCAAACGGGAUUAGAUACCCCGGUAGUCCUGGCCCUAAACGAUGAAUGCUUGGUGUGGCGGGUAUCGAUCCCUGCCGUGCCGAAGCUAACGCAUUAAGCAUUCCGCCUGGGGAGUACGGUCGCAAGGCUG
This 371-nucleotide ribosomal RNA is filed under the name uncultured organism. RNAcentral's name for it is "bacterial SSU rRNA". It matches the Rfam family "Bacterial small subunit ribosomal RNA", at positions 528 to 896 of the family's 1533-position model. The record is from RNAcentral.